RNAcentral lists this ribosomal RNA (462 nucleotides) under uncultured bacterium. RNAcentral's name for it is "partial 16S ribosomal RNA". It matches the Rfam family "Bacterial small subunit ribosomal RNA", at positions 28 to 507 of the family's 1533-position model. The record is from RNAcentral.
GACGAACGCUGGCGGCGUGCUUAACACAUGCAAGUCGAACGGAAAGGCCCUUCGGGGUACUCGAGUGGCGAACGGGUGAGUAACACGUGGGUGAUCUGCUCUGCACUUUGGGAUAAGCCUGGGAAACUGGGUCUAAUACCGAAUAGGACCGCGCGCUUCAUGGUGUGUGGUGGAAAGCUUUUGCGGUGUGGGAUGGGCCCGCGGCCUAUCAGCUUGUUGGUGGGGUAAUGGCCUACCAAGGCGACGACGGGUAGCCGGCCUGAGAGGGUGACCGGGCACAAUGGGACUGAGAUACGGCCCAGACUGCUACGGGAGGCAGCAGUGGGGAAUAUUGCACAAUGGGCGCGAGCCUGAGGCAGAGACGCCGCGUGAGGGAUGACGGCCUUCGGGUUGUAAACCUCUUUCACCAGGGACGAAGCGCAAGUGACGGUACCUGGAGAAGAAGCACCGGCCAACUACGUG